CUGAAUAACUUAGUCGAUCGCAUGGUCUUAGCACCGGCGACGCAUCUUUCAAGUGUCUGCCUUAUCAACUUUCGAUGGUAGGUUAUGCGCCUACCAUGGUUGUAACGGGUAACGGAGAAUCAGGGUUUGAUUCCGGAGAGGGAGCCUGAGAGAUGGCUACCACAUCCAAGGAAGGCAGCAGGCACGCAAAUUACCCACUCCCGGCACGGGGAGGUAGUGACGAAAAAUAACGAGGUAGUCCUCUACGAGGCCUACCAUCGGAAUGAGAACAAUUUAAAUCCUUUAACGAGGAACUAUUGGAGGGCAAGUCUGGUGCCAGCAGCCGCGGUAAUUCCAGCUCCAAUAGCGUAUAUUAAAGUUGUUGCGGUUAAAAAG
RNAcentral lists this ribosomal RNA (375 nucleotides) under Nematoda sp. Its description in RNAcentral is "SSU rRNA". It matches the Rfam family "Eukaryotic small subunit ribosomal RNA", at positions 252 to 626 of the family's 1831-position model. The record is from RNAcentral. Lineage: Eukaryota; Metazoa; Nematoda.